This is a long non-coding RNA of Ctenopharyngodon idella (grass carp), 410 nucleotides long. RefSeq lists it as uncharacterized. The transcript is spliced from 3 exons. The record is from RefSeq and is a predicted model, not a curated record. Lineage: Eukaryota; Metazoa; Chordata; Actinopteri; Cypriniformes; Xenocyprididae.
UUCAGGCCUUUUUCUGCCUAUUUCUUCACUCACAGUUAUCUCCAGCAAAGUACAGGGAUAAAGAUCAGCACCUCUGCUCAACUACAGGAGGCUACACAGGCUAUGUGCAAUAUGACCAUAGAAGAGAUGACCAGGAAAUCCCCCCACUUGAAAAAAUACCUGAAGGAUUAUUGUGCAGUUGCAGUGUAUAUACAAGUGCUAAUGCUUAGGGGUUAUAGCUUUGAUGAACAUUCUUUCCAAAAUGUUGCUUUCCAGAAAAAGGCAGGUGAGGCCUCUGUGGGCUGGGCUCUGGGUUAUAUACUCAGUGUGAGCAGCCUUCUUCCAGAGGAACCUACCGGGAUCAGAAAGGGCUUGUGUCCUGCGGCAUGGAUCUGUUUGUUGAUUCUCCUAACCAUCCUCCUCACUGCCAC